RNAcentral lists this ribosomal RNA (501 nucleotides) under uncultured bacterium. RNAcentral's name for it is "partial 16S ribosomal RNA". It matches the Rfam family "Bacterial small subunit ribosomal RNA", at positions 30 to 523 of the family's 1533-position model. The record is from RNAcentral.
AUUGAACGCUGGCGGCAUGCCUUACACAUGCAAGUCGAACGGCAGCACGGGAGCAAUCCUGGUGGCGAGUGGCGAACGGGUGAGUAAAGUAUCGGAACGUGCCCAGUCGUGGGGGAUAACGUAGCGAAAGUUACGCUAAUACCGCAUACGAUCUAUGGAUGAAAGCGGGGGAUCGCAAGACCUCGCGCGAUUGGAGCGGCCGAUAUCAGAUUAGGUAGUUGGUGGGGAAAAGGCUCACCAAGCCGACGAGCUGUAGCUGGUCUGAGAGGACGACCAGCCACACUGGGAGUGAGACACGGCCCAGACUCCUACGGGAGGCAGCAGUGGGGAAUUUUGGACAAUGGGCGCAAGCCUGAUCCAGCCAUGCCGCGUGCAGGAUGAAGGCCUUCGGGUUGUAAACUGCUUUUGUACGGAACGAAAAGGUUUGACUUAAUACGUUGGACUCAUGACGGUACCGUAAGAAUAAGCACCGGCUAACUACGUGCCAGCCGCCGCCCGUAA